This 577-nucleotide ribosomal RNA is filed under the name uncultured bacterium. Its description in RNAcentral is "bacterial SSU rRNA". It matches the Rfam family "Bacterial small subunit ribosomal RNA", at positions 224 to 806 of the family's 1533-position model. The record is from RNAcentral.
GAGCGGCCUAUUCCCUAUCAGUUAGUUGGCGAGGUAACGGCUCACCAAGACAAUGACGGGUAGCGGGACUGAGAGGUUGGCCCGCCAUAUCGGGACUGAGACACUGCCCGGACCUCCACGGAGGGCUGCAGUAACGAAUAUUGGGCAAUGGGCGAAAGCCUGACCCAGCGACGCCGCGUGCAGGACGAAGCUCCUCGGAGUGUAAACUGCUGUCAGGGAUAUGUAAGUGCGCUUCGGCGCAUUGAACUACCCCAGAGGAAGUCACGGCUAACUUCGUGCCAGCAGCCGCGGUAAUACGAAGGUGGCAAGCGUUGUUCGGAAUCACUGGGCUUAAAGCGUACGCGGGCGGAUUAUCAAGUGUCCUUUGAAAUCCCACGGCUCAACCGUGGAAUUGGGGGGCAAACUGGUAAUCUUGAGGCAGUUAGGGGUGGGUGGAACUCUUGGUGGAGCGGUGGAAUGCGUAGAUAUCAAGAGGGACGCCAGAGGUGAAAACGACCCACUGGGACUGUCCUGACGCUGAGGUACGAAAGCGUGGGUAGCGAACGGGAUUAGAUACCCCGGUAGUCCACGCCGUAAA